UACGUAGGAGACGAACGUUAUCCGGAGUUACUGGGCGUAAAGGGCGUGUAGGCGGUUUGUUAAGUCUGGCGUGAAAGCUCUCGGCUAAACCGGGAGAGGUCGUUGGAUACUGGCGAACUGGAGGAUGGUAGAGGCGUGUGGAAUUCCGGGUGUAGUGGUGAAAUGCGUAGAGAUCCGGAGGAACACCAGUGGCGAAGGCGACACGCUGGGCCAUACCUGACGCUAAAGCGCGACAGCAUGGGGAGCAAACGGG
This 253-nucleotide ribosomal RNA is filed under the name uncultured bacterium. RNAcentral's name for it is "partial 16S ribosomal RNA". It matches the Rfam family "Bacterial small subunit ribosomal RNA", at positions 524 to 776 of the family's 1533-position model. The record is from RNAcentral.